UACGAGGGGGCGAGCGUUGUUCGGAAUUAUUGGGCGUAAAGGGUGCGUAGGCGGUUCCGCAAGUCCUGUGUGAAAUCUUCGGGCUCAACUCGAAGUCUGCACGGGAAACUGCGGGGCUUUGAGUGUGGGAGAGGUGAGUGGAAUUCCCGGUGUAGCGGUGAAAUGCGUAGAUAUCAGGAGGAACACCGGUGGUGUAACGGCUUUCUGGACCAUAACUGACGCUGAGGCACGAAAGCGUGGGUAGCAAACAGG
RNAcentral lists this ribosomal RNA (252 nucleotides) under uncultured bacterium. RNAcentral's name for it is "partial 16S ribosomal RNA". It matches the Rfam family "Bacterial small subunit ribosomal RNA", at positions 524 to 776 of the family's 1533-position model. The record is from RNAcentral.